UAAUACAGAGGGUGCGAGCGUUAAUCGGAAUUACUGGGCGUAAAGGGCGCGUAGGUGGUUACUUAAGUCAGAGGUGAAAUCCCCGGGCUUAACCUGGGAAUUGCCUAUGAAACUGGGUAGCUAGAGUACAGGAGAGGGAAGUGGAAUUUCCGGUGUAGCGGUGAAAUGCGUAGAUAUCGGAAGGAACACCAGUGGCGAAGGCGACUUCCUGGCCUACUACUGACACUGAGGCGCGAAAGCGUGGGGAGCGAACAGGAUUAGAUACCCUGGUAGUCCACGCCGUAAACGAUGAGAACUAGAUGUUAGUUGGCUUAGACCAAGUAGUAUCGUAGCAAACGCGAUAAGUUCUCCGCCUGGGGAGUACGGCCGCAAGGUUA
RNAcentral lists this ribosomal RNA (377 nucleotides) under uncultured bacterium. RNAcentral's name for it is "bacterial SSU rRNA". It matches the Rfam family "Bacterial small subunit ribosomal RNA", at positions 521 to 896 of the family's 1533-position model. The record is from RNAcentral.